GGCUCGGUAGCGUAACGGUCAACGCGCCUACACAUUACGUAGGAGAUCCCAGUUCGACUCUAGGCCGAGCUG
RNAcentral lists this transfer RNA (72 nucleotides) under Stereum hirsutum FP-91666 SS1. Its description in RNAcentral is "tRNA-Asn (ATT) (tRNA-Asn-ATT-4-1)". It matches the Rfam family "tRNA". Rfam says of the family: Transfer RNA (tRNA) molecules are approximately 80 nucleotides in length. Their secondary structure includes four short double-helical elements and three loops (D, anti-codon, and T loops). The record is from RNAcentral. Lineage: Eukaryota; Fungi; Basidiomycota; Agaricomycetes; Russulales; Stereaceae.